RNAcentral lists this ribosomal RNA (1059 nucleotides) under Triticum aestivum (bread wheat). RNAcentral's name for it is "partial small subunit ribosomal RNA". Lineage: Eukaryota; Viridiplantae; Streptophyta; Magnoliopsida; Poales; Poaceae. The record is from RNAcentral.
AUGCCUCCCAAAGCUCCUAAAGCCUCUAUCACUUGCAAUUGGAUGAGGUCCAAUGUCACCAACGAAACUCUAGCAGAGUUUGUCAAGUCAGGCCACCUGCCAAAGAAGGAUGUCAUGUCCUACCGCGCCCCUGACCCGUCAGAAGAGAGACCACAGCCAAAGGACGGGGAGGUGAUCAUUUUUGCGGAUCACAUGAGCCGGGGCUUCGCACCGCCCGGCUCAAAGUUUUUCAGAGACGUUCUGAAUUUCUUCGAUCUGCGACCUCAGGACAUAGGACCCAACUCAGUAUCCAAUAUCUGCAACUUCCAAGUGUUCUGCGAGGUUUACCUUGGAGAAGAACCCAGUCUGCUGCUCUUCAGAGAGCUUUUCUAUUUAAACCGCCAGAACGAGUGUGCCAACGGGCCGAGUUUGGAGCUAGGCGGCAUCUCCAUCCAGCGGCGUAGGGACUGCCUUUUCCCUUACGCAGAGCCGCCCAGCCACCCCAAGGACUGGAAUCUGACGUGGUUUUACUGCCAAGACACAUCACCGGCUGAUGAGAGUCUGUUGCCCGGCUUUCGCCCCUCGCGUCUGGAGCCGACUCACCCACUGUCAGACAAGCUGACUCCAGCGGAGCGCCAACCCCUGCUCCCUACCAUCAACAAGAUCAAGGCUCUCCUGGGCAAUGGUCUGAACGGAAUCGAUCUGGUCCGGGUCUGGAUCUCGUGGCGGGUGAUCCCAUUGAGCCGCCGCCCCGACUUAAUGUGUGAGUACACGGGCCGAAAGGAUGACCCCCAGAGACACAGCCGCAACGAUCUUCCUGAAGAUGUUGCCGAGGAGAUGACCAAGGCUCUCUUGAACGAGAGCCUGGCAGAUUGCGGGAGGACCGGGUUAGCCCCCUUCUGCAAGACCAACCCAGCCCCAGCGGCUGAUGACAAGUUCUGGCGGGUCAAAUAUGACCACGAAGUGGCCAAGAAGGCCAGAAAGGCGAAGAAAGCCGCCAAGAAAGCCGCUCCCCGCAAGAAGGGGAGUAGGCCAACUGCUUCGGAGCUGAUGCAAUUAAGCGACAACUCCGAGUCAGAG